UGGGGAAUCUUGGACAAUGGGGGCAACCCUGAUCCAGCGAUGCCGCGUGAGUGAAGAAGGCCUUCGGGUCGUAAAGCUCUUUAGGUUGGGAAGAAGUGCACGUUGUGAAUAACAAUGUGUGUUGACGGUACCGACAGAAUAAGCACCGGCAAACUCUGUGCCAGCAGCCGCGGUAAUACAGAGGGUGCGAGCGUUAAUCGGAAUUACUGGGCGUAAAGGGCGCGUAGGCGGUUGAAUAUGUGUGAUGUGAAAGCCCCGGGCUUAACCUGGGAAGUGCAUCGCAAACUGUUUGACUGGAGUAUAUGAGAGGGUGGCGGAAUUUCCGGUGUAGCGGUGAAAUGCGUAGAGAUCGGAAGGAACGUCGAUGGCGAAGGCAGCCACCUGGCAUAAUACUGACGCUGAGGCGCGAAAGCGUGGGGAGCGAACAGG
Molecule: ribosomal RNA, 429 nt
Filed under: uncultured bacterium
Lineage: Bacteria
Description: bacterial SSU rRNA
Rfam family: Bacterial small subunit ribosomal RNA
Source: RNAcentral